GUCGUACGGGAGUUUUUAACUCAAGUGGCGGACGGGUGAGUAACACGUGAGUAUUUACCUUUAGGAGGGGGAUAACAGUUGGAAACGGCUGCUAAUACCCCAUAUGCUUUAGAGUGAAAAAGAUUUAUCUGCCUAAAGAAAAGCUCGCGGCUGAUUAGCUAGUUGGUGAGGUAAUGGCUCACCAAGGCGACGAUCAGUAUCUGGUUUGAGAGGACGAUCAGACACACUGGAACUGAGACACGGUCCAGACUCCCACGGGAGGCAGCAGUGGGGAAUUUUCCGCAAUGGGCGAAAGCCUGACGGAGCAAUACCGCGUGAGGGAAGACUGCCUAUGGGUUGUAAACCUCUUUUUUCAGGGAGGAAUCAAUGACGUUACCUGAAGAAUAAGCAUCGGCUAACUCCGUGCCAGCAGCCGCGGUAAGACGGAGGAUGCAAGUGUUAUCCGGAAUCACUGGGCGUAAAGCGUCUGUAGGUUGUUGUUUAAGUCAACUGUUAAAUCUUGAGGCUCAACCUCGAAAUCGCAGUCGAAACUAUUCAACUUGAGUAUAGUAGGGGUAAAGGGAAUUUCCAGUGGAGCGGUGAAAUGCGUAGAGAUUGGAAAGAACACCGAUGGCGAAGGCACUUUACUGGGCUAUUACUGACACUCAGAGACGAAAGCUAGGGUAGCAAAUGGGAUUAGAUACCCCAGUAGUCCUAGCCGUAAACAAUGGAUACUAGAUGUUGAACAGAUCGACCUGUGCAGUAUCAAAGCUAACGCGUUAAGUAUCCCGCCCUGGGAAGUAU
Molecule: ribosomal RNA, 783 nt
Filed under: uncultured cyanobacterium
Lineage: Bacteria; Bacillati; Cyanobacteriota
Description: bacterial SSU rRNA
Rfam family: Bacterial small subunit ribosomal RNA
Source: RNAcentral